AUCUGAAACUGAACCCUUUGUUGCCUAGCAACAGCAAAUGCCUGUUGAUGUUCUUUGAACUCCUCUGAUGUAAUCUGCCGCUCUCAGACCCAACUGUAGCAUCUUUUACUUCAUAGAGCCAGAAGGUAAACUGGUGUGAGAUGGAGAACAGAGACUUCGCUCCGGACAAAGACAAACCUUUGGAUUUGUUUCAACUCCUGAUGGAGCGGCUGGAGAGCUGCCAGGUUAGAGGCUCAGAAGCAGCAGCUGGUCAGCCUGGAGCAGCAGAUCCUGAAGAACAAGCCUCUGAAGGAGGAGCUGAUGCAGCGUAAGGUUCAGUUCAGCUCUACGGUCCACACAAUUGAAGAGCAGAAGAAGUUCAUGGAGGAGAAGAUGGUGACGAUAGAGAGCAGCAUUCAGCAGAUGGCCAAACCCAGACCUGGAGACCUGGACCUCCUGCUCCCUCCGUCAGCAGCAGGUUGAAAAGCAUCUAUUCAACAGUUUAGACUCGUCGUUCUUUGAUGGCUGCUAGUUUGUUAGGAAAUGAAUGAAAUGAUGAGGAGAACUUUGGUUUCAGUCAGAACAGGAAAUCUCCUGCACGGUUUGUUCUCCCUUUUUCUCAUGUUGCUGCAUCAAUGUUUAACUUUGGCCACAGCUGGAUUGUUGAUAGAAUCUGUAGAAGAAAAAGCUCAAAGUUAGCACUACUGUUUGGACCGGCAGCAGAACCAGAACCAUCUCCAUCCUUCCUGCUCUGUAGA
Long non-coding RNA from Cyprinodon tularosa, 737 nucleotides. RefSeq lists it as uncharacterized. The transcript is spliced from 3 exons. Lineage: Eukaryota; Metazoa; Chordata; Actinopteri; Cyprinodontiformes; Cyprinodontidae. The record is from RefSeq and is a predicted model, not a curated record.